GACGAACGCUGGCGGUAUGCUUAACACAUGCAAGUCGAACGAGAAGUCUUUUAUUGAACCUUCGGGGGAUAUAAGAGACAGACAGUGGCGAACGGGUGAGUAACGCGUGGGCAACCUACCUAUCGGAGCGGGAUAGCCUCGAGAAAUCGGGAGUAAAACCGCAUAACACGGAUAUAUCGCAUGAUGAAUCCGUCAAAACUCCGGUGCCGAUAGAUGGGCCCGCGUCUGAUUAGCUAGUUGGUAAGGUAAGGGCUUACCAAGGCAACGAUCAGUAGCCGGUCUGAGAGGGCGAACGGCCACACUGGAACUGAGACACGGUCCAGACUCCUACGGGAGGCAGCAGUGGGGAAUAUUGCGCAAUGGGGGCAACCCUGACGCAGCAAUACCGCGUGAGUGAAGAAGGUUUUCGGAUCGUAAAGCUCUGUUAUUGGGGAAGAAGCAGUGACGGUACCCAAUGAGGAAGUCCCGGCUAACUACGUGCCAGCAGCCGCGGUAAUACGUAGGGGACGAGCGUUGUCCGGAAUCACUGGGCGUAAAGGGCGCGUAGGCGGUUUUAUAAGUCAGAUGUGAAAGGUACCGGCUCAACCGGUGACGUGCAUUUGAAACUGUAAGACUUGAGUACUGAAGAGGCAAGCGGAAUUCCUAGUGUAGCGGUGAAAUGCGUAGAUAUUAGGAAGAACACCGGUGGCGAAGGCGGCUUGCUGGGCAGAUACUGACGCUGAGGUGCGAAAGCGUGGGGAGCGAACAGG
Molecule: ribosomal RNA, 749 nt
Filed under: uncultured Pseudoramibacter sp.
Lineage: Bacteria; Bacillati; Bacillota; Clostridia; Eubacteriales; Eubacteriaceae
Description: bacterial SSU rRNA
Rfam family: Bacterial small subunit ribosomal RNA
Source: RNAcentral